AUUGAACGCUGGCGGCAUGCCUUACACAUGCAAGUCGAACGGUAACGGGUCCUUCGGGAUGCCGACGAGUGGCGAACGGGCGAGUAAUAUAUCGGAACGUGCCCAGUAGUGGGGGAUAACUGCUCGAAAGAGCAGCUAAUACCGCAUACGACCCGAGGGUGAACGGGGGGGAUCGCACGACCUCUCGCUAUUGGAGCGGCCGAGAUCGGAUUAGCUAGUUGGUGGGGUAAAGGCCUACCAAGGCAACGAUCUGUAGUUGGCCUGAGAGGACGACCAGCCACACUGGGACUGAGACACGGCCCAGACUCCUACGGGAGGCAGCAGUGGGGAAUUUUGGACAAUGGGCGCAAGCCUGAUCCAGCAAUGCCGCGUGCAGGAAGAAGGCCUUCGGGUUGUAAACUGCUUUUGGCAGGGAAGAAAUCGUCUGGGCUAAUACCCCGGGAGGAUGACGGUACCUGAAGAAUAAGCACCGGCUAACUACGUGCCAGCCGCCGCGGUAA
This 500-nucleotide ribosomal RNA is filed under the name uncultured bacterium. Its description in RNAcentral is "partial 16S ribosomal RNA". It matches the Rfam family "Bacterial small subunit ribosomal RNA", at positions 29 to 523 of the family's 1533-position model. The record is from RNAcentral.